Molecule: ribosomal RNA, 672 nt
Filed under: uncultured bacterium
Lineage: Bacteria
Description: bacterial SSU rRNA
Rfam family: Bacterial small subunit ribosomal RNA
Source: RNAcentral
UCUUCGGAAUUAGAGACCGGCGCACGGGUGCGUAACGCGUAUGCAAUCUACCUUUCACAGAGGGAUAGCCCAGAGAAAUUUGGAUUAAUACCUCAUAGUAUUAUGAAAUGGCAUCAUUUUAUAAUUAAAGUCACGACGGUGAAAGAUGAGCAUGCGUCCCAUUAGCUAGUUGGUAAGGUAACGGCUUACCAAGGCUACGAUGGGUAGGGGUCCUGAGAGGGAGAUCCCCCACACUGGUACUGAGACACGGACCAGACUCCUACGGGAGGCAGCAGUGAGGAAUAUUGGACAAUGGGCGCAAGCCUGAUCCAGCCAUGCCGCGUGCAGGAUGACGGUCCUAUGGAUUGUAAACUGCUUUUGCACAGGAAGAAACAACUCUACGUGUAGAGUCUUGACGGUACUGUGAGAAUAAGGAUCGGCUAACUCCGUGCCAGUAGCCGCGGUAAUACGGAGGAUCCAAGCGUUAUCCGGAAUCAUUGGGUUUAAAGGGUCCGUAGGCGGUUUGGUAAGUCAGUGGUGAAAGCCCAUCGCUCAACGGUGGAACGGCCAUUGAUACUGCCAGACUUGAAUUAUUAGGAAGUAACUAGAAUAUGUAGUGUAGCGGUGAAAUGCUUAGAGAUUACAUGGAAUACCAAUUGCGAAGGCAGGUUACUACNAAUUGAUUGACGCUGA